Molecule: microRNA precursor, 71 nt
Filed under: Myotis brandtii (Brandt's bat)
Lineage: Eukaryota; Metazoa; Chordata; Mammalia; Chiroptera; Vespertilionidae
Description: mir-9193 microRNA precursor family
Rfam family: mir-9193 microRNA precursor family
Source: Rfam by way of RNAcentral
CUCGAGGCAGGGGGCCUCAGCUCAGAUUGCGAGAGGGUGCAAGCCAGGCUGAGGGAUCCCCCUGGUGCACG